GAAAUGCGAUAAGUAAUGUGAAUUGCAGAAUUCAGUGAAUCAUCGAAUCUUUGAACGCACAUUGCGCCCAUUAGUAUUCUAGUGGGCAUGCCUAUUCGAGCGUCAUUUCGACCCUUAAGCCUAGUUGCUUAGUGUUGGGAAUUUACGGGCUUGCCCUGUAACUCCCGAAAGUUAGUGGCAGCGUUGCGGCAUUCUCUAAGCGUAGUAAAUUUUUUCUCGCUUCUGUAGGUGCUGUAGCGGUCGCCAAUAUACCCAUAUGUUUUUUUACGUGGUUGACCUCGGAUUAGGUAGGAGUACCCGCUGAACUUAAGC
Molecule: unclassified non-coding RNA, 312 nt
Filed under: plant metagenome
Description: partial contains 5.8S ribosomal RNA, internal transcribed spacer 2, and large subunit ribosomal RNA
Rfam family: 5.8S ribosomal RNA (bases 1-105)
Source: RNAcentral